GCAGCCAGGCUAACUCUGUGCCAGCAGCCGCGGUAAUACAGAGGGUGCAAGCGUUAAUCGGAUUUACUGGGCGUAAAGCGCGCGUAGGCGGCUAAUUAAGUCAAAUGUGAAAUCCCCGAGCUUAACUUGGGAAUUGCAUUCGAUACUGGUUAGCUAGAGUGUGGGAGAGGAUGGUAGAAUUCCAGGUGUAGCGGUGAAAUGCGUAGAGAUCUGGAGGAAUACCGAUGGCGAAGGCAGCCAUCUGGCCUAACACUGACGCUGAGGUGCGAAAGCAUGGGGAGCAAACAGGAUUAGAUACCCUGGUAGUCCAUGCCGUAAACGAUGUCUACUAGCCGUUGGGGCCUUUGAGGCUUUAGUGGCGCAGCUAACGCGAUAAGUAUACCGCCUGGGGAGUACGGUCGCAAGACUAAAAAUCCAAUGAAUUGACGGGGGCCCGCACAAAGCGGUGGAGCAUGUGGGUUAAUUCGAUGCGAAGCGAAGAAACUUUACUUGGCCUGACCUAGU
RNAcentral lists this ribosomal RNA (504 nucleotides) under uncultured bacterium. RNAcentral describes it as "bacterial SSU rRNA". It matches the Rfam family "Bacterial small subunit ribosomal RNA", at positions 488 to 990 of the family's 1533-position model. The record is from RNAcentral.